GAUCAUGGCUCAGAUUGAACGCUGGCGGCAGGCCUAACACAUGCAAGUCGAGCGGAUGAAGAGAGCUUGCUCUCUGAUUCAGCGGCGGACGGGUGAGUAAUGCCUAGGAAUCUGCCUGAUAGUGGGGGACAACGUUUCGAAAGGAACGCUAAUACCGCAUACGUCCUACGGGAGAAAGCAGGGGACCUUCGGGCCUUGCGCUAUCAGAUGAGCCUAGGUCGGAUUAG
This 227-nucleotide ribosomal RNA is filed under the name uncultured bacterium. Its description in RNAcentral is "partial 16S ribosomal RNA". It matches the Rfam family "Bacterial small subunit ribosomal RNA", at positions 15 to 244 of the family's 1533-position model. The record is from RNAcentral.